This 397-nucleotide RNase P RNA is filed under the name Sinomonas sp. ASV486. Its description in RNAcentral is "RNase P RNA component class A". It matches the Rfam family "Bacterial RNase P class A". Rfam says of the family: Ribonuclease P (RNase P) is a ubiquitous endoribonuclease, found in archaea, bacteria and eukarya as well as chloroplasts and mitochondria. Its best characterised activity is the generation of mature 5'-ends of tRNAs by cleaving the 5'-leader elements of precursor-tRNAs. Cellular RNase Ps are ribonucleoproteins. The record is from RNAcentral. Lineage: Bacteria; Bacillati; Actinomycetota; Actinomycetes; Micrococcales; Micrococcaceae.
CAGGUCGGCCGGGCGAUCGCGGGGCGGCCCCACAUGGGGAAGCCGCGAGGAAAGUCCGGGCUCCACAGGGCAGGGUGGUGGGCAACGCCCACUCGGGGCAACCCGCAGGCCAGUGCCACAGAGAAGAGACCGCCGGCGCGCUGUGCCCUCGUGCACGGGGCGCCGGUAAGGGUGAAACGGCGGUGUAAGAGACCACCAGCUCCCCGGGCGACCGGGGAGGCUAGGUAAACCCCACCCGGAGCAAGGCCAGACAGGGCGCGUUCGAGGGCUGCCCGCCCGAGCGCCCGGGUAGGCCGCUUGAGGCCGCCGGCAACGGCGGUCCUAGAUGGAUGAUCGCCUCCCGCGCAGGGGUAACCCCGCACGGAGACAGAACCCGGCUCACAGGCCGGCCUGUCCU